UGUAAUUUGCCUUUUUAAGAAGGCAUUUGUUCAAACAUUGAAAACUCUUGGAACCUUUGGCCAUUUGAUGUUUUUGAAAAAGCUUACAUAACUCCUUUUAGCUCCAUAUUUCUCUCAAAUUUUCAUUCUCUAAAAAGAGUCCCACCACUCUAUUCAAAGCCUUGAGAAUAGCUAGGAAGACCUCUUAGUGGUCCUCAUUGGAGCUAUUUGAAGAAAUUUGAAAAGCUACAAAUACUACAAGAAUUCAGGGUUUCGGCGACAACGAAUUUCAUCGCUAAAAGGGAUGACUUCUAAUACACAAAGAGGUUGCGGAUUGAAUGAAUAUUUUUGGACAGUAGAGGAAGAUGCAGUGUUGGUGGGCGCACUUCAAGAACUAAGUCAUAGUAGUUUAUGGCGAGCAGAAAAUGGACUCAAGAAUGGGUAUUUGAAUCAAAUUGAACAAUUCAUGUUGGAAAAAUUACCUUCGUCUACCUUAAAGCCAUCUCCCACACAUUGAAUCUCGAGUGAGAACGCUAAAGUCCAAAUACAAUGCACUAGCCAAGUUGCUUAGAGAUAAAAGUGAAUUUAGUUGGAAUGGAUGAACUCCUGACAUUACAAUGUGAAAGAAGUGCGUAUGAUGAGUGGGUCAAUGUAUGUAGAAGAAAAUAAUUUUAGAUCACAUUAUUCAAAUAUUCCAACAAGUUAUAUUUUUUAACUUGUAGGUUCAUAAGGAUGCUAGUGGUUUAUCUGGAAAACUUUUUCCUCACUAUUAUGCUCUAGGAGAAAUAUUUGGAAAAGAUCAUGUCACUGGUCAACAUGCAGGUACUGUUGAUGACGAUGAAGAAGAAAUUAGAAUGGGGGAUCCUAGCUCUCGUCAUGGUUCCCAUGUAGAUAUCAAUGACUUUGAUAUGCAUUUUGACAUUCAGAAUGACAUAUUUAAUCCAGUUGAUGAUGAAGGGACAUCAUUUUCACAACCUCAACCGCAACCCAAUUUCACUGAUAAAAGUUCAAGUGGAGGUCAUAAAAGGAAAGCAUGCAACAAGGAUGGAAUGAGUUAUCAUAUCGAACGCAUGGCAAAUUCGGUGACAGAAGUGGCACUAAAGCUUGAUGGGCUUAUAGAAGUCCUUUUAAAUGAUAGAGAAGUGACUAACAUACAAGAUCGACUAACUGAUGAGUUAAAACAAAUAGACGGAGAAGAAAGAGUUGCUAAGAAAUUUUUUCACCAUGAAAGAAGAGAAGAAGAAAGAGUAUGUUCUAAACUUAUUAGAACAUGAAGUUUGACUCUUA
Non-coding RNA from Momordica charantia (bitter melon), 1266 nucleotides. The record is from RefSeq and is a predicted model, not a curated record. NCBI's taxonomy places the organism in Eukaryota, Viridiplantae, Streptophyta, Magnoliopsida, Cucurbitales, Cucurbitaceae.